AGAAGCGCUACUGGCACUGCUAGUCGUCGUCAUCUUGGCUCUCGAAGGCGAUGCACAGCCUUGGGGUAAGCUACGGAUAAGGAUUGUACCUCCGCCGGGGAGGAUUAUACCUCCGCCAGGGAUGAGAAAGGAAGCAGCUGAGCCAACGAUGGAGAAAAUAAUAUCUCCGCCAGGGAUGAGAAAGGAAGCAGGUGAGCCAAUGAAGGAGAAAAUAAUAUCUCCGCCAGGGAUGAGAAAGGAAGCAGCUGAGCCAAUGAUGGAGAAAAUAAUAUCUCCGCCAGGGAUGAGAAAGGAAGCAGCUGAGCCACUGAUGGAGAAAAUAAUAUCUCCGCCAGGGAUGAGAAAGGAAGCAGCUGAGCCAACGAUGGAGAAAAUAAUAUCUCCGCCAGGGAUGAGAAAGGAAGCAGCUGAGCCAAUGAUGGAGAAAAUA
Penaeus vannamei (Pacific white shrimp) is the source of this 430-nucleotide non-coding RNA. The record is from RefSeq and is a predicted model, not a curated record. NCBI's taxonomy places the organism in Eukaryota, Metazoa, Arthropoda, Malacostraca, Decapoda, Penaeidae.